Molecule: long non-coding RNA, 288 nt
Filed under: Daucus carota (carrot)
Lineage: Eukaryota; Viridiplantae; Streptophyta; Magnoliopsida; Apiales; Apiaceae
Description: long non-coding RNA (DCAR_LNC001048)
Source: RNAcentral
GACCAGACUUCCCAUAGGUCUGGAGUAUAUCAUGUGUUGGAGAUGGUCAGUAUUGUAGUGUGUAUGAUGCAGUGUGUAGUGAGUAGUUGUAUCAGGUCAGCAGAUUUUGUCAUGUAUAUAGACUAGCGGAGCUGACUAGAUGAUAUGUAUGUUGUUGUGGUUGUCGGCAGAUUUUGACAUGUAUAUAUAGACUAGCCGAGCGGACUAGAGGAUAGCCUUGCUGUUGCUGUUGUUGUACUUUACUUUUGAUAAAGCGCUUGACGCUUGUAUCUCCAGCACUGACUUAUA